GGUGGAAAUAUUAGAGACAAGACUAUGGUUUUUGCUACAUUUUUUCGUAGUUUGCCCUCUGUACCUCUUACUAUAAUCAAAAUAGCCCAAUAGCAAAUCGCACAAGGUCUACAAGUAGCCACUGCCAAACUGCACUGUGGUGGGUUUAUAGACACCGCCCAAAUAUUGUAUCCAAUACAAUAGUGCUGUCCAUUUAUUAUUAACAAAUAAGGGUAAUGUUUUAACCCAUAUAAACAGGUGUAAGUAAGCGUCUUGCAUUUACUGACAGGAUUCUGUGAUGGGGCACGAGCAAG
This is a long non-coding RNA of Photinus pyralis (common eastern firefly), 293 nucleotides long. RefSeq lists it as uncharacterized. The record is from RefSeq and is a predicted model, not a curated record. NCBI's taxonomy places the organism in Eukaryota, Metazoa, Arthropoda, Insecta, Coleoptera, Lampyridae. The transcript is spliced from 2 exons.